GCCGGCCGCACUCCCUUGGCCAUGCCCUCAGCUCUUCGCGUCUGCUGUCAAUCCUCUCUCCCUUGGCCUACCCAGCACUAGAGAUGGAGGACAGUGAGGGGCGGCGAUGGGACGGAGGUGGAGGAGCAGCCACGGCCAGGUGGAGGAGGUGGUGGGGGCAGGCCGACCUGUGCUGGCCGCACUCCCUCGACAAUGCCCUCGCUCGCCGUCAUGCUGGUCUCCCCUUCCCCAACCGGAGUGGAUUGGCAGACAUGGACAUGGCCAGAGCAGGCACGCUUUGACAUGGAUUUGAUCAAACAAAAGAAUCAUUGGAAGCUGAUUUGGAGGAAUGUCACUGUAUGCAAUCCUGUUGCUUCUCUAUGUUCUUUGGCUGCUUCGACGUGGCAGAUGCAAAAUGAGAGGAUGUUUUGAGCUGAGAACUGACAUCAUCAUUAGUGCGUUGAUGGAUCUUGAGACAUGAGCCAAUGCUGCUGGUACUGACAAGGGCAUGCAGGUACGACGGCGGCUGGAUGGGAUUUGAGAAGAGAGGCAAGGCUGGAUGGUGACUUCUGACGCAGCUGCACAAGCAUCGUCAGGUGUCCACCAAGGGUGUGUUAUUUGGUAUCCCGCUUCUUUCCUUCCAGGCAUGUCGCCCCCCUAUCGACAGGCUCAACCUUCUUGUGAGAUCAUCACCCAUCCCUCAGUUUCAGUUAGCUCCUUCCUGCUAAUAUUUCUUACUUCGUCCGGUUCAAUAUUUCUCAAUUGGUCUUGCUAUGUUGCUGCGAGGUGGCAUCAUUUUUGGUAAAGAUCAUUGCUCUCAAGGUAGCGAGGAGGAUCUCCAAAGCAAGAUGUUCCUUUGCAUGGAAUUAUAUUCAACCAUUGCAAGUUCUUGGAUAUAUUCCAUUUAGAUGGAUUCAACUAUGUGCAGCACUCAAAGUUGUUGUGCAAGGUGAAGAUCGAUCUGCAGAUCGCGGAAUUCAUGCUGAUGGUGGUCCUCUGAUCCCUGCUUACCAAGGAGGUUAAGCUGACAUGAUUCAGCCCAAAAUGGGUUGGCAUUUUCUUCCGCCUAGCUUACUUAAA
Molecule: long non-coding RNA, 1059 nt
Organism: Lolium perenne
Lineage: Eukaryota; Viridiplantae; Streptophyta; Magnoliopsida; Poales; Poaceae
Source: RefSeq, a predicted model, not a curated record